Molecule: ribosomal RNA, 475 nt
Filed under: uncultured bacterium
Lineage: Bacteria
Description: bacterial SSU rRNA
Rfam family: Bacterial small subunit ribosomal RNA
Source: RNAcentral
UCAGGACGAACGCUGGCGGCGUGCCUAACACAUGCAAGUCGAGCGAUGAAAUCCUUCGGGAUGGAUUAGCGGCGGACGGGUGAGUAACACGUGGGUAACCUGCCUUGUAGAGGGGGAUAGCCUUCCGAAAGGAAGAUUAAUACCGCAUAACAUCUUUUUAUCGCAUGGUAGAAAGAUCAAAGGAGUAAUCCGCUACAAGAUGGACCCGCGGCGCAUUAGCUGGUUGGUGAGGUAACGGCUCACCAAGGCGACGAUGCGUAGCCGACCUGAGAGGGUGAUCGGCCACAUUGGAACUGAGACACGGUCCAGACUCCUACGGGAGGCAGCAGUGGGGAAUAUUGCGCAAUGGGGGAAACCCUGACGCAGCAACGCCGCGUGAAUGAAGAAGGCCUUAGGGUUGUAAAGUUCUGUUUACGGGGACGAUAAUGACGGUACCCGUGGAGGAAGCCACGGCUAACUACGUGCCAGCAGCUGC